CAGCGGCGACCCGCGAAGAAGAAAAACAGAAAAACCCACCCAUCCCACCGUACGACCCACUCCUGACUGCCCCCAAUCCCACUUCUCUGGCUAGAUCCAGGCGCCGCCCCGGCCCCCACCUUCUCCCUGGCAGGAUCCCGGCGCUGCCCAGCCUGCCACCUUCCCCCUGCUGGAUCCCGGUGCCGCCCCGCCCCCACCCUCUUCCUGGCUAGAGCCGAGCGCCGCCCCGCCGCCACCUUCUCCCGGCUGAAGCCCGACGUCGCCCCGACCGCACCUUCUCCCCGGCUGGAGCCCGCCGCCGCCCCUCCCCCACCUUCUCCUCGGCUGGUUCCCAGCGCCGCCCCUCCCCCACCUUCUCCUCGGCUGGUUCUCGGCGCCGACCCCUGCUUCCACGGUUUCACCCGCCACCGCCGCCCUCUGCUUCCAGCCGCCUGCACCGCUGCCCCUCCGCCUUCUUCCGCUGGCGGACCAACCCCGCCGCCGUGCCACACGGUCAAGGUCACGUGGGAGAUGCCGUCCCUAGCCCAGCUGAUGUGGCCCGGCACGCUGACCACCGCGGUGUCCCUGCACCCUGACCACCGCUGAUGUCCAACGCCACGGUGCCUCCCAUGGCGGCCGUUCACUGCCGCCACCCCGGGCCGUUCAACAAUACAACGCCGAGCCGUUCAACGCCGCAGCUCUACCACCAUUCGCAACUCCAACUUCCAUUAUGUGGUUCUGGAGGUUCAGUUUUUUCAGUGUAUGUUUUGUAUACCUUAGAGUUCACCUACUUGACGAAUGCAUGUCCAGUUUCCUCUCUAUUUCCCCCAUGUCAAUUGCCGAAAUAUUGCCGGCCAGUAUAUUUACUUAUUACCAUAAACCUUUAUGCAUCACUUUCAAGCCCUCACAGCAUUUUAUUUCUCUGGCAUAAUUUCCUUGCCGGCCAGCCACUGACCUGACAUGGUGCUCAGUGGACUUAUAUAUAUACAUGAACAUGAUUAUAUUUUUAACAUGUACUUAUAUCAGCUUUGUUGGAUUUUGUGUGUGUGCUUGUAGCACAAUUAGUUCAGGUCUCGAGAGACCAUAAGUUCAAGUUCACUAGUAUUUAUAAAUGUUGGUAGCAGUACUAGUAUUUCAAAUCUGUAACCUAAGAACUAAGCUUGCAUCUUGUUACUUCUAUGGAGGCACUGACCUCAUAAUUUUUUUGGACCAACCACUGACCUGACAUGGUGCUCAGUGUAUUCUCUCAAUCUUGGUUGUCUUGCCUCGUAUGAAAAAUAUUGUUAUAUUAUAUGGUGUUAAUUUACAACAGCUCAAGAUCAUUUACUUUAAUUAUUUCAUAAUUUUUUUGAACCAAAAACACGAAUAAAGGUGCAUCUUUUACAUCAGCUCAAGAUCGUUUAGUUCAAGUGAUUAUUGUUCUAUUUUGUUCAAUCAGUUCAACAUGUGUUAUGUCAUCAAUUCAUAAUGAGAAGGCAGGAAAAGUUCAAUACUUGUGUGUUAAAAACAUAACAGUAUAGAGAAACUAUUGUAGUAGUUCGAUGGAAUAAAUCACAUCAGUUCUGACUCGGAUCGGUUCUUGCCUAGAAUGCACUGAAAAAUCAAAAAAAUUGCCUUCGUUCAGGCUGGUGUUUAGUUGGUGGUUGUCUGGUACCUACACCGGCAUUUUCCAUCAAGACCUCCAGAAAAUUGAUAUCAUCUCAAGGUGAAAAAUAUGAAAUCCUUUUACUCCGGGCUCCAACGCACCACCGCUCCUCUGAUUCUGCUCCGGGCUCUGCCUGCGAUUCUUCCGCCGACGCCGAUGGUCAGCGCCCCCAAUCUCCCUUUUUUUCUCUCGAUCUCACUUCCUUGCUGCUCUGCAUGAAGCAAAACAAAAUGCAUCUCAUACCAUUUGCUAUAUAUGCGUACACCUUUGUAGUCUUUUUCAGUUCAAGUUUUGCUAGCAAAAAAAGAUUUGUCGCAAUUCAGUAUAAAAUAGUGAAAUCAGUUAGCUGAUUGGAAAUAAUUCAAGUAUAUGUGUGUGCACUGCAGUAGCAACUCGGUAGAAAAACAUUCAGCAGCUUGUUAAACAGAAAUAGAAGCACAUUUUGUGAAUUUUAUAUAAUGCAUCUGUUUUAGUUAUUAUAUGCAGGGCCAUGUUCGUGAAUUACAAGCAAUAGCAGCACUUGUAGAGUAGCUAAAAACGGAGGAACCCAAUGCAUAUGUCGUCUUCUUUGUUCUGUGAAUGGCUGGAGGGGCAGCUUCAGUUUCCAUGUGUUGUACAAAAGAUCCAGGACUGCGGGAGAAGAUUUGUUGUUGAAGAAGUGGAAUUUGUUGGGUGCAUGUGCAGAAAAAUCGUCAGUUCAAUUUUCAAAAUCCUGUAAGUUUGUUUUGAUUCUAUAAAUUUCUGUAAGUUUCUAGUGUGUGCUGCUACAGAUCUGAACUAUUUGUCCAGUCCUCCUAGUACUGAUUCAAUCGCCUAAAAUAUGUUCAAGAAAAAUCAGUAAGUUUGGUGCGUGUGCUGCUACAAAUCUAAACUUCUACUCCAGUCAAUCAAGUACUGAUGUCUCUUUAAGUCUGUAGCGGAGAGAAUAUUUGUGUGCUCAUUCGUUCAUAGUAUGAAGCUCAUUUAUAGUUUCUUUUCUCAUUCUUUUAAUUAAGAAAACGUUUAUUGACCUUGAAGCAUAAACCUCUCGGCAAUGUAGCAUUCUGCUGAUAUUUUAAUAGUCGGUAAGAUGUUGUAGCGGGACAAGGUCAUCAUCUCGAGGAGGUCAGUGAGGUCAGUGAUACCAUGCACGCUGAAAGUGUGCGAUGGAUAUUCUCUUCACAUUUUUUGUGUUUUGGAGUAAAUCGACAUAGAUUGUUGACACAUCAGCAUCUAAUUUUUUGCACUGGAUUUGGAGAUUUUGAUCAGUACUUGGUUGUGUGAUAUUUUUGAAACCAGGACGACCUCGACCUCCGUCUGCUUCUCAUUUCCAGCCGCAUCCAGGACGACCUCGACCUACUGCCACUAGCUGUUGGUGCACCUCAUGCUAGCUGCUAGCUAUUACCUAGUGUGCUUGAUUCUACCGCUACAAAGAAGUUCGACAGGGGCACGGGGUUCAGUUCAACGACGACGAGCCAGGCAGCCAGCCUUCGCAUCACGAACUGGUGCAGUUUGAUCUUGGGCGAAUUGGAAAUUUCUUGAUGUUGAGUGUGUCAGUACAACCCUACACUACAAGGCACGCGUACAUCAAAUUCACGUGUUAGUCAACCGUAUCGUGCAUUUGCUUGGCAGCUUUGCACUCUAGUUACAUAUCAAUUGCUAAAUAAAUAAAAAAUGUUAUUCACUUUUCUGUGUUUUGUUGAAUAAUUCUCAUGCUUUCUUUUGUGAGGACUACAAAUCAUAGUGCUUAAAAUACAGAUGUGUGCGUCAUACUUGAACUAAAAAAGUUACAGGAGAAAGUACCCCUAUUCCAUUAUUUUGAGAAGUACAGGUACACCUUUCUAAAUAGUACAGUGCAUGACCGGUGCUCGCCCCGCAUAAAUGGAGUCUUCAGCUCACCAUGCUACCUCCCGCCGGUGGGCCUCCGUUGCUGCAUCGCCCCGACCGUUCACUGCCACCAACCCAGGCCGUUCAACGAGGCAGCGCCAAGCCGUUCGACGUCGCAACUCAGGAGGCUGCCUCCUUUCCCUCCCUCCACUGCACUGAACCUAAAGUAGAAGAAAGCAAACAUCAGUCCAGCUGGUAGACGUGGAGGUGAUUUUUGUAUCUAGGCCGCGUUCGGCUCCUCUCCGCUCCCUCCACUCCGCUCCGGACCGGACGAGCCUCUAGCUCAUUUUUAUGGAGCGGCCUAAACUAAGCUCCACAACUCCGCGGAGUCGGAGCGGAUGGGAUGGAUUCCGAACACGGCCCUAAAAUCAUAUGUGCUUUUCUCUCCAAUUGAUUGUUUGUGUUGAAGGAAGCGAGGAGAAGCUACAGCAUGAAAUUGUGUAUGAUCGUGGAGCUGUGUAUGUGUAUGUAAUGUCUGCAACACGUGUAUGAACAGGAAGGAAAAUGAUGUAUGUUGAUUGAUGAAAGUUCAAUGUAAAAUAAUAUUUCACA
Molecule: non-coding RNA, 4042 nt
Organism: Triticum urartu
Lineage: Eukaryota; Viridiplantae; Streptophyta; Magnoliopsida; Poales; Poaceae
Source: RefSeq, a predicted model, not a curated record